CCGACCGACUUUGCGCUUAAAUGUGAAUUGUUUGUCUCAGUGUUCGAAGCCGAUUCCAAGACCGUUACAUUGACAACAAUAUGACACUCAAAAAGAUUACCAGAAAGCUGCAUGCUGAAGCAACCAAGCUGUGGCAACAUAUUCAGAAGGUGUCAAUCAACAAGACUUACAACUGAUUGAAUGUGCCUUUAUUUCAUGAACAAUGUUAAAUGUGUUGUUAUUAUUAAUACUACUGUUAUUAAAUCAAUUCCUUUAACAUA
Long non-coding RNA from Dreissena polymorpha, 260 nucleotides. RefSeq lists it as uncharacterized. The record is from RefSeq and is a predicted model, not a curated record. The transcript has 2 exons. Lineage: Eukaryota; Metazoa; Mollusca; Bivalvia; Myida; Dreissenidae.